ACCGGCAGCUCAAGUGGUGGCCAUUUUUAUUGGGCCUAAAGCGUUCGUAGCCGGUUUGAUAAGUCUCUGGUGAAAUCCCGCAGCUUAACUGUGGGACUUGCUGGAGAUACUAUUAGACUUGAGGUCGGGAGAGGUUAGGGGUACUCCCAGGGUAGGGGUGAAAUCCUAUAUGCCUGGGAGGACCACCUGGCGCUAAGGCUCCUAACUGGAACUAACCUGACGGUGGUUAGAGGGAGUCAUGUGCGUGAUCCU
This 252-nucleotide ribosomal RNA is filed under the name uncultured prokaryote. Its description in RNAcentral is "partial 16S rRNA". It matches the Rfam family "Archaeal small subunit ribosomal RNA", at positions 475 to 726 of the family's 1478-position model. The record is from RNAcentral.